RNAcentral lists this ribosomal RNA (446 nucleotides) under uncultured bacterium. RNAcentral's name for it is "partial 16S ribosomal RNA". It matches the Rfam family "Bacterial small subunit ribosomal RNA", at positions 338 to 795 of the family's 1533-position model. The record is from RNAcentral.
CCUACGGGUGGCAGCAGUCGAGAAUCAUUCACAAUGGGGGAAACCCUGAUGGUGCGACGCCGCGUGGGGGAAUGAAGGUCUUCGGAUUGUAAACCCCUGUCAUGUGGGAGCAAAUUAAAAAGAUAGUACCACAAGAGGAAGAGACGGCCAACUCUGUGCCAGCAGCCGCGGUAAAACAGAGGUCUCAAGCGGUGUUCGGAAUCACUGGGCGGAAAGGGUGCGUAGGCUGUUUCGUAAGUCGUGUGUGAAAGGCGCGGGCUCAACCCGCGGACGGCACAUGAUACUGCGAGACUAGAGUAAUGGAGGGGGAACCGGAAUUCGCGGUGUAGCAGUGAAAUGCGUAGAUAUCGAGAGGAACACUCGUGGCGAAGGCAGGUUCCUGGACAUUAACUGACGCUGAGGCACGAAGACCAGGGGAGCGAAAGGGAUUAGAUACCCGAGUAGUC